AACAAUUCUAUGUGGGUUCCGGCUACUGUCUCAUGGACAUGUGAUAACCGCAGUCGGCGAAAAUAAUUUGUGAACAACUGAGCAACUUAGGCAGAAGCUGUCUCACUUGUGCCAAAAGAAAGACUUGAUUGUUAAACUGGAUAUUGACUCUAAAGACAUCCCAGCUACGUGAAGCUAAGGACAUAACGUGCAGUUCCAGAUUUCAGUCAAAACUCACAUAGCAGUCACAGAAAACAUGGGCAAACAUGGGCUUGAUCUUUUCCUAACUUCAAUACUUGAUAUUGCGUAAACGAUGGCAGAAAGAGAUCCAGCUACUGCAAUAGCGCUAAAAUGGAAAACAACGCAAUUUUCUGUUGCUGGAACCACCUUAGGUCCAAAGAGGGAAAUUAUAUUAGACCUGGAGUUCAUCUCCACAUAGGCAAGCUACAGUGGUUCAUGCAGAAGGCCUACCCCUGCCCUUAUCCUCAAAAGUUGGCUUAGGGGUCAUUCUUUUCCUAGGUGAAUUGGGUAGUCCGAAGAAGUAAUGGCAGUGAUCUGAUUGUGGUUGUUGGGAUGGAUGCCUGUCAAGCGUUCGAUGUUUUUGAGGAGUUGAGGAGCAACGUACAAGUGGAAUUUUUAUGUUUUUUACGGCUCGACAGUUUUUUGGCAAAGAAAGCGGGAACGGUGUUGUGUGCGGCGCUGUUAAAGAGCAAAACGACGGCCUCAAAAGCUCCUCCACCAAUGAGGUUUAUCAAAUACGCAAUGGGGAUGUGGGUCGCCUUUGUCUAUUGGUUUUGUGGGUAAGUUCUGCUGAAUAGUUGGGAUUUCGGAAGCGGGUCUGUUAAAGAUCUGCUGAAUCGUUGGGUUUUGUGGGUGAGUUCCACUGAAUUAGUGGCCGAAGAGAAUGGUAAGUCCAAGAAGAAGAAGACGAAGAAAGAGAAGCCCUUGAGGGUUUUCACUGCGGUGGCUCCUUGUUAUGGGUGUGGGGCUCCGUUGCAGAUUCGGAUUCGGAUGCUCCGGGCUAUUUCCACCAAAGCUUAAGAUUUUGUUAUCGCAACCUUUAAGAGAAAACACCGCCAGCUUAGAACUGUACUAUGCGGGCGGUGCCGGCUACUGUCUCAUGGGCACAUGAUAACUACAGUCGGUGGAAAUGGAGGUUAUCCCGGCGGAAAACAGUUUGUGACAGCUGAACAACAUAAUAAACCGAGAUAUACCUUGGCCCAAGGUACUUGAGGAGAUGAGCUAUGACGCGUAUGAUUUGGUUGACAAAGACAUUAGUUGCUGCUUUAGAUGAAAACCCAGGAGCUGUACACUAAAAAGAGGCAUGUGGAUGCUUUUGAUCUGCAUACUGAUCCUAAUUCAGAUGCUCGGGGAAGAAUGAUUGAUAAUGUAUCUUGUAAAUAUCAGUCUUUUUCAAAUGGUUAGUUCCCUUUCAGAUUAGAAUUGUUUUUUCUUUUUUCUUAUUUCGUUUCAUUUUUUGUUUUUCUUGUUGGAGGUGGGUUCACCAUAUCACCUCAAUAAGCUUUUUCGCUGAUGCCCCUGCAAUUGUUACAUUACCAAAUGCUUCUUUGAGGUGUCUAGCUGUUUUAACAACAACAUAGGUUUUCUGAAUAAUCCUCCAAAUAGUUUUUCACCA
Molecule: long non-coding RNA, 1615 nt
Organism: Alnus glutinosa
Lineage: Eukaryota; Viridiplantae; Streptophyta; Magnoliopsida; Fagales; Betulaceae
Exons: 8
Source: RefSeq, a predicted model, not a curated record